UUUAUUGGAGAGUUUGAUCCUGGCUCAGGACGAACGCUGGCGGCGUGCCUAAUACAUGCAAGUCGAGCGGACUUGAGGGAGCUUGCUCCCGAUGGUCAGCGGCGGACGGGUGAGUAACACGUGGGCAACCUGCCUGUAAGACUGGGAUAACUCCGGGAAACCGGGGCUAAUACCGGAUAAUUCAUUCCCUCACAUGAGGGAAUGCUGAAAGACGGCUCCGGCUGUCACUUACAGAUGGGCCCGCGGCGCAUUAGCUAGUUGGUGAGGUAACGGCUCACCAAGGCCACGAUGCGUAGCCGACCUGAGAGGGUGAUCGGCCACACUGGGACUGAGACACGGCCCAGACUCCUACGGGAGGCAGCAGUAGGGAAUCUUCCGCAAUGGACGAAAGUCUGACGGAGCAACGCCGCGUGAGCGAAGAAGGCCUUCGGGUCGUAAAGCUCUGUUGUCAGGGAAGAACAAGUACCGGAGUAACUGC
Molecule: ribosomal RNA, 478 nt
Filed under: Mesobacillus campisalis
Lineage: Bacteria; Bacillati; Bacillota; Bacilli; Caryophanales; Bacillaceae
Description: bacterial SSU rRNA
Rfam family: Bacterial small subunit ribosomal RNA
Source: RNAcentral